GGAAUUACUGGGNGUAAAGCGAGCGCAGACGGUUUAUUAAGCAAGAUGUGAAAUNCCCGAGCUUAACUUGGGAACUGCGUUUNGAACUGGUAAGCUAGAGUAUNUCAGAGGGGGGUAGAAUUCCACGUGUAGCAGUGAAAUGCGUAGAGAUGUGGAGGAAUACCGAUGGCGAAGGCAGCCCCCUGGGAUAAUACUGACGUUCAUGCUCGAAAGCGUGGGUAGCAAACAGGAUUAGAUACCCUGGUAGUCCACGCCCUAAACGACGUCAAUUAGCUGUUGGGCAACAUAAUUGCUUAGUAGCGUAGCUAACGCGUGAAAUUGACCGCCUGGGGAGUACGGUCGCAAGAUUAAAACUCAAGGGAAUUGACGGGGACCCGCACAAGCGGUGGAUGAUGUGGAUUAAUUCGAUGCAACGCGAAGAACCUUACCUGGUCUUGACAUGUACGGAAUCUUCCAGAGACGGAAGAGUGCCUUCGGGAGCCGUAACACAGGUGCUGCAUGGCUGUCGUCAGCUCGUGUCGUGAGAUGUUGGGUUAAGUCCCGCAACGAGCGCAACCCUUGUCAUUAGUUGCCACCAUUCAGUUGGGCACUCUAAUGAGACUGCCGGUGACAAACCGGAGGAAGGUGGGGAUGACGUCAAGUCCUCAUGGCCCUUAUGACCAGGGCUUCACACGUCAUACAAUGGUCGGUACAGAGGGUAGCCAAGCCGCGAGGUGGAGCCAAUCUCAGAAAACCGAUCGUAGUCCGGAUUGCACUCUGCAACUCGA
This 767-nucleotide ribosomal RNA is filed under the name uncultured bacterium. Its description in RNAcentral is "bacterial SSU rRNA". It matches the Rfam family "Bacterial small subunit ribosomal RNA", at positions 547 to 1315 of the family's 1533-position model. The record is from RNAcentral.